ACGGAAGGCAGCAGUGGGGAAUAUUGCACAAUGGGCGCAAGCCUGAUGCAGCGAUGCCGCGUGAGGGAAGAAGGUUUUCGGAUUGUAAACCUCUGUCAACAGGGACGAAAAUGACGGUACCUGUGAAGGAAGCUCCGGCUAACUACGUGCCAGCAGCCGCGGUAGUACGUAGGGAGCAAGCGUUAUCCGGAAUUACUGGGUGUAAAGGGAGUGUAGGCGGGACUGUAAGUCAGAUGUGAAAUAUGCCGGCUCAACUGGCAGACUGCAUUUGAAACUGCGGUUCUUGAGUGAAGUAGAGGUAAGCGGAAUUCCUAGUGUAGCGGUGAAAUGCGUAGAUAUUAGGAGGAACAUCAGUGGCGAAGGCGGCUUACUGGGCUUUAACUGACGCUGAGGCUCGAAAGCGUGG
This 406-nucleotide ribosomal RNA is filed under the name uncultured Ruminococcus sp. RNAcentral's name for it is "partial 16S ribosomal RNA". It matches the Rfam family "Bacterial small subunit ribosomal RNA", at positions 341 to 764 of the family's 1533-position model. The record is from RNAcentral. Lineage: Bacteria; Bacillati; Bacillota; Clostridia; Eubacteriales; Oscillospiraceae.